CGCACAUUGCGCCCUUUGGUAUUCCAAAGGGCAUGCCUGUUCGAGCGUCAUUUGUACCCUCAAGCUUUGCUUGGUGUUGGGCGUCUUGUCUCUAGCUUUGCUGGAGACUCGCCUUAAAGUAAUUGGCAGCCGGCCUACUGGUUUCGGAGCGCAGCACAAGUCGCACUCUCUAUCAGCAAAGGUCUAGCAUCCAUUAAGCCUUUUUUCAACUUUUGACCUCGGAUCAGGUAGGGAUACCCGCUGAACUUAA
RNAcentral lists this unclassified non-coding RNA (250 nucleotides) under Alternaria betae-kenyensis. RNAcentral describes it as "partial contains 5.8S ribosomal RNA, internal transcribed spacer 2, and large subunit ribosomal RNA". Lineage: Eukaryota; Fungi; Ascomycota; Dothideomycetes; Pleosporales; Pleosporaceae. The record is from RNAcentral.